RNAcentral lists this ribosomal RNA (274 nucleotides) under uncultured bacterium. Its description in RNAcentral is "partial 16S ribosomal RNA". It matches the Rfam family "Bacterial small subunit ribosomal RNA", at positions 523 to 796 of the family's 1533-position model. The record is from RNAcentral.
AUACGAAGGGUGCGAGCGUUAAUCGGAAUUACUGGGCGUAAAGCGUGCGUAGGCGGUUUGCUAAGUCAGAUGUGAAAGCCCCGGGCUUAACCUGGGAACUGCAUUUGAUACUGGCAGACUAGAGUAUGAUAGAGGGGGGUAGAAUUCCUGGUGUAGCGGUGAAAUGCGUAGAUAUCAGGAGGAAUACCAGUGGCGAAGGCGGCCCCCUGGAUCAAUACUGACGCUGAGGUACGAAAGCGUGGGUAGCAAACAGGAUUAGAAACCCCAGUAGUCC